GUGGGGAAUAUUGCGCAAUGGGGGAAACCCUGACGCAGCAAUACCGCGUGAGUGAAGAAGGUUUUCGGAUCGUAAAACUCUUUUAUUGGGGAAGAAGAAGUGACGGUACCCAAUGAAGAAGUCCCGGCUAACUACGUGCCAGCAGCCGCGGUAAUACGUAGGGGACAAGCGUUGUCCGGAAUCACUGGGCGUAAAGGGCGCGUAGGCGGUUUUAUAAGUCAGAUGUGAAAGGUACCGGCUCAACCGGUGACGUGCAUUUGAAACUGUAAGACUUGAGUACUGGAGAGGCAAGUGGAAUUCCUAGUGUAGCGGUGAAAUGCGUAGAUAUUAGGAGGAACACCGGUGGCGAAGGCGGCUUGCUGGACAGAUACUGACGCUGAGGUGCGAAAGCGUGGGGAGCGAACAGGAUUAGAAACCCUGGUAGUCC
Molecule: ribosomal RNA, 427 nt
Filed under: uncultured bacterium
Lineage: Bacteria
Description: partial 16S ribosomal RNA
Rfam family: Bacterial small subunit ribosomal RNA
Source: RNAcentral